AUUGAACGCUGGCGGCAUGCCUUACACAUGCAAGUCGAACGGCAGCACGGGUGCUUGCACCUGGUGGCGAGUGGCGAACGGGUGAGUAAUACAUCGGAACAUGUCCUGUAGUGGGGGAUAGCCCGGCGAAAGCCGGAUUAAUACCGCAUACGAUCCACGGAUGAAAGCGGGGGACCUUCGGGCCUCGCGCUAUAGGGUUGGCCGAUGGCUGAUUAGCUAGUUGGUGGGGUAAAGGCCUACCAAGGCGACGAUCAGUAGCUGGUCUGAGAGGACGACCAGCCAGAGUGGGGCUGAGACGCGGCCCAGACUGCAAGGGGAGGGAGGGGGGGGAUAUUGUGGACAAGGAGCGAAGGGCAGAUCCAGCAAUGGCGAGUGUGGGAGGAGGUCAAGCGGAUUUUACAGCAUAUGGGACCAGAAAGAAAUCCUAGGCUCUAAGAAAGGUGGGGGAAGAGCGAAGGGGACGAAGAAGCACCGGCAGACGACGAGAAAGCAGCAGGGGUAAUACGAGGAGGAGCACAGGUCGGAAC
RNAcentral lists this ribosomal RNA (527 nucleotides) under uncultured bacterium. RNAcentral describes it as "partial 16S ribosomal RNA". It matches the Rfam family "Bacterial small subunit ribosomal RNA", at positions 38 to 536 of the family's 1533-position model. The record is from RNAcentral.